GUAGGUGGACCUGCGGAAGGAUCAUUACAGUAGUCGCCCGGGUUGCCGCAAGGCCUCCCGGGUAACCUACCCCUUUGUUUAUUACACUUUGUUGCUUUGGCAGGCCUGCCCUCGGGCUGCUGGCUCCGGCCGGCGAGCGCUUGCCAGAGGACCUAAACUCUGUUUGUCUAUACUGCCUGAGUACUAUAUAAUAGUUAAAACUUUCAACAACGGAUCUCUUGGUUCUG
RNAcentral lists this unclassified non-coding RNA (227 nucleotides) under rhizosphere metagenome. RNAcentral describes it as "partial ribosomal RNA internal transcribed spacer region". The record is from RNAcentral.